GGAAAAUAUUGGGGGCGUAAAAGCGCGCGUAGGCGGUUUCUUAAGUCUGAUGUGCCCCCCCACGGCUCAACCGGGGAAGGUCAUUGGAAACUGGCAAGCUUGAGUGCAGAAGAGGAAAGUGGAAUUCCAUGUGUAGCGGUGAAAUGCGCAGAGAUAUGGAGGAACACCAGUGGCGAAGGCGACUUUCUGGUCUGUAACUGACGCUGAUGUGCGAAAGCGUGGGGAUCAAACAGGAUUAGAUACCCUGGUAGUCCACGCCGUAAACGAUGAGUGCUAAGUGUUAGGGGGUUUCCGCCCCUUAGUGCUGCAGCUAACGCAUUAAGCACUCCGCCUGGGGAGUACGACCGCAAGGUUGAAACUCAAAGGAAUUGACGGGGACCCGCACAAGCGGUGG
RNAcentral lists this ribosomal RNA (394 nucleotides) under Staphylococcus aureus. Its description in RNAcentral is "bacterial SSU rRNA". It matches the Rfam family "Bacterial small subunit ribosomal RNA", at positions 546 to 935 of the family's 1533-position model. Lineage: Bacteria; Bacillati; Bacillota; Bacilli; Caryophanales; Staphylococcaceae. The record is from RNAcentral.